CUUCUUGUAAUUUUGUGCAUAUUUGUUUUAUAUUUAUUUUCAGUGUUGACUUUCUUUUGUUAUCUGUAUAUAAUUAGUAUUUAAGAUUAGGAGAAGAUGAUUUAAUGGUAGUUAUAAAAAUAAGCUCUACUGUAUAGACAUAAACUCUAGUCCUUGUGUGGUUGGCAAGUAUUUUCAAUAUCUGAAGAUACUAGAUUUAAAGCAAUUUGGAGUUACAGGGCUUGUGACAGAUUGUCUUUUCCAAAGACGAGCACAACAUCUCUCAUCUGCAUUGAGCUGUUAUAACUCUUCCAUCAAGAGGUAAAGUUUACUUUGCCACCUACUUGAAUCUGAGACAGCAGCCCCAGACUGCUUUGACCAAUACAGUAUGCAGAACUGAUACUGCCAGUAACAGGCACAGCCCUUAACUGGCCUGGAAACUUGUACUUCCUCCCUGUUGGAAGCUAACCACCAUUUAAUAAGUGUGACUACUCCCACCCAAGCCCAUGUGGAGAGGGCUUGGAGGCUGAGAGGCUGUGCUAGAAACAGAAAGCCCAGGGAAAACAAAAGUGCCAGACCUGCAAAUGAAGAAGCCAAGUUGGAAGCCAAUCUUUCAGCACCAGCUGACCCCAGUUAAUAGCAGAUGGAUUAGAGAUGAACCCCCCACCUGAGUACUUCCUGACUUCCUAACAUAUAAAAAUGUGAGCCCAAUAAAAUAGUAGAGAUUUUAUGCCACGACAUUUUGAGGUAGUUUUAAAUGUAGUAAUCAAGAAUCAGAAUAGGGUCAACAGAGCAUAUAUACCUGCCCUGCUAAAAGGCUUUAUUCUUUUAAAACAUUUGACUGGACAAUGAGAGCCCAUUUUCCCAAUGAAUUUGCUGUAGGGUAACUGUAGGGUUUGCUACUCCUGCUCUGGAACAACAGGAAACUGAAUUCACAUCCCAUAUCUACCAUUUACUUUGUGACUGGACAAGUUACUCAACAUCUUGAAGCCUUACUUUCCUUUCCAAUCAAAUGGGGUUACAGUGAGAAUUUAAUGGUUUAAUGAAUAAAAAGCAUUACCAGCUAUCAAUUUUAAUCAUUUUUUAAUUAUAUUUUUAGAUAUAGUGAUUUAUUUUCUUGGCUAGAAAAAAUGAAAUUGUAUUGCUUCUUGGUUUAAAAUAAUUGCUGACAUUUUUACUAUUAUACUAACCUGUCAGUGACAAUGAGAAUAUCAGCUAGAGAAAGAGAGGAGGUGUUUUUUCCUUUUGCUUGGUUUACAAAGUCAUGUUAUUCAAUCACUGGUUUCUAUAUCUAUUUUUCAUUAUAUAUUUAUUUACUAUAGAAUGCAUACCUGCUCAACAUAUCCUUAAAUAUAAGAUGUUAACAUAUGUCUAUAUUUCCACAUAUGUACAAAUGAUGAAUUUAAUAACUUUUGCAUGGUUGAUAGCACAUAAAGCUUAAAUUACUUUUUGUGUCUUUUAACAAUUGCUUAACUGUUAAAGAUAAUGAGGUUUAUAAUUGCAGUCAUUGUCUUUCUCUAAUUGUACUUUCACAAAUUAGCCUUCAGACCAAAUCUAUUUGAAGCUACUCUUCUACUUUUACUCUUCCCAAUUUAGUCUCUGAAUCUCCCCUACCCCUCUCUCAUUCUUUCUUCUUCGUUUCUUCCUCUCUCCACGUACACAUAUAUGCGUAUGCACAUAUAUGUCUAUGCGCAUACAUGCAAACACACACAUAUUUACGUUUGACUUCUCAGUAUUUGGUCUUUGGGUUAGGAAUCCUACUUACAGCAGUCCACUGAGAUACUAAAUUCCUUUUAUUUCAGUUCCUUAUGACCAUUUGUCUGUCUAAGCUUUGAUAAAAUAUGGCAGGGUUCAGGAUUAUUGGCAGUCUUUUCUUCAGUGAACCCUAAAACUGGAACUUCAUAAAAGUUUCACAUCAGGAGAAACAUGUAGAGUAGAUAUGAGCAGAAAUAAGAUUAGCAACUGCUUUGAAAAUCAGAUUGUUCUUAUUUCUCUGCUAUAUGUGGAGUUCUCUUACUUGUAUGCCCAGGAAGUCUUAAUUUCCUCUGGCAUCUGCCAGCCUGUUUCACCACAUCAUGCUAAUUCAUCCCACUGAAAAAGUUAUAAAACGCAGGAAGCUUAAAUAAGCCCAGGAACUGCGUUCAUCACUCUUUUUAAAAAAUGAAACACAGAAUAUGUUUGCUUUAUUUACAGUAUUGGCUUCAGGCAAAUCAAAUUUAUGUGAAAUAUUAUUGCACCGAAAGGAUGUAAUGUGCAUUUCUUGCAUGAUACUAAAUUUAUCUUUAGGAAACAAAGACAAGUGAAGCAGCAAACUUGCCGAACAAUCUCUGCCACACCAUAUGCACUUCAAAAGACCAACCACAGUGAUUAAAGGGAUGAAAAAGAUGACCUGCUUGAAAACUCUAAAGAACCCAGUAUUAUUUGAAAGAAGAGGAAGCUGAAUGCCCUCUGUCCUUCUCUGGAAUAAGAACUAACCUGAACAACAGUAACAACAAUACAAACAGCUAUGAAGAUUAUGUAUAGCUGGAGGCUACAAGCAGGUAAGGUGUGAAGGGAUAUAAAAAUUAAAAUAACCUAUUUAUUAUUUUUAUUUUCAAAAAUCAAUUUAUUUAGUGAGUUUGUGUUAUUAAAUGAUGAAAAAAAUUACAAUGAAGGGCUAAGGGCUUUCUACUUAGCUUUAGUUUAAUAGUUUCAGUUUUCAUUUUCAAAUGAAGUGUUAGUACUUCAUUUAAUCUAUAACAACCAUGGAAUGUGGUAUCAUUAACAUCAGUUGAAAAAGUAAACUAAGUUUAAUUCAUGGUAAUUCAUGAGACGAAUUCAUUGACCAGAGGAGGUCAAAGAGUCAUGGUUCUUAAAAUGAAUGUUGUAGUCCUCUGCCUUUCGAUAACCUUACUAUGAUCAUUUUUAUGUAAGAGGCAACUAAGCCGUAAGUGGGUAAAAAGCAUAGAUUUGCUCAAUUUCUAACCUGUUUUUUUCAUGAUACAUGCAUCAUCCUAAACUAUUCCUCAAAUUUAUCAUUUAAUCUCUGCUUUAACAAUUUAGUGAGCUGAGGAAAUUAUAAUACCAUUUAAAAAUAGCAUAAUCAUUAGAAAUAUCUUCUUUAUGUUGACCUAAAAUUAACUUCCCUCCUAUCCCUGGUGAUGCCACUCAUAUUGCCAAAACUAGAUGGUGACCAAACCUGUCAGAUUGUUUUUUAAAGAUGCUGAGGAGCAGAUUUCUCAUGGGGAGCACCUUCUGAUACAUUUUAAUACGUUUCUUACAGGCUAGUCAAAUAAAGCAGUGGGAGUGGAAAAGGAUCAAAGAAAUCUGUAACCGGUUAUGAUCAAUUAGUUGUAAACACCACUGCACGAGGACCAGCCCAAAGCUGCUACUUAACCAAGUGACUUUCUGAUUGCUCAACUGUGUUUCCACUGAGAAAAAUGCAUUGAAAUGAAACAUCUCAUUUCCAGUACUGUCCUGAGGCAAAAAGAGACAAUGAUACGUAUCUCCAAUUUAGACUGGAUGAAACUAGCCACAUUUCAAAUAAAGAAGUCACAUUGUAAGUGUAAAACGACGUUAACCUUAAAGGAGACAUUUCCGCCCUGUAUAACUAUGCACAGCUUCAACUAAUGGUAUAUGAACUGUGUCUACAAACCAAAGGACAUUUUUCUAAAGAAACUUUAAAUAUAGAAAAUUAACUCAAACCUUACCUUAGAGCUUCCUCCUCUAUUGUCUUUUCCUGUAGUGGUAGUCUCUGUGGCACUUACAGGUGGUAAACAAAUAAAAAAGUGUCUUAUUGAAUUAACUUGAUUGCCAUAUUGAUCAGUUUUAUGUGUUUUUAUUCUUAAGCAUAACAAUAAAAGAAAAUGAUUAAGCAAUGUUUUGCUUAAAAAAAAAAGAUUUCAUGGCAGAGAAGCAAUUGAGUCCAGUUAAGAGACAGUUAAGAACAUUUUUCAGUUUGGAGCUUUUGUUUUGUGAUGAGAACUUUGCCAGUUAGUCACAAAUGAACUUGAGCACAUUUUCUUGAGCGUGAUGGCUGAACAGAUGAGCCACACACACUUUAUAGUGAGUUUUACUGCACUGAGUCUUUACCUACUAUUCCUAGUAGUUACACAUAUUAAAUUAUUAAUAACUGAUCAACAUUUUAAAAGAAGGUUUCAAAAGAAAUGUAAUUAGAUUUUAUAGUUGAGUUUUAGCUAAUGUGUGAUUCCACAAAAGUUCAGGUGCCGAGAUUACAUUUCAAUUUAUACUUGCCAUCUGCUAGAAUAUUCCCCUCUGUCUACAGCAUCCUGACCAGAUCUCCAAAUUUUGAAAUCUGUUUUCAUUAUUCAAGACUCAUUGUACAUUUCAAAUACCAGGUUGAUUUCUUAGUCUCCAUGUUCUCCAUGUCUGCUUAUGACUUUACAGAAAAAAUGUUAUUUACUAUGCAUAUUAAUAUUGAGAUUCUUUACUAUGCUGUAUCUUUUUUUUUUUUUUUUUUUUUUUGAGAUGGAGUCUCACUAUGUUGCCCAGGCUGGAGUGCAGUGGCGCCAUCUCGGCUCACUGCAAGCUUCGCCUCCUGGGUUCAUGCCAUUCUCCUACCUCAGCCUCCUGAGUAGCUGGGAUUCUAAUCUCCGCCACCACGCCUGGCCAAUUUUUUGUAUUUUUAGUAGAGACAGGGUUUCACUUUGUUAGCCAGGAUGGGAGCUCGUAAUCCGCCCACCUCGGCCUCCCAAAGCUGGGAUUACAGGCGUGAGCCACUGUGCCUGGCCUACUAUGCUGUAUUCUUAUAGUUAACAGCAUGCUCUUUGAUAAUAUCUCAUUGGAAAUAUUUAUGCUCUGAAACAUUAUUUUUUGAAUUGUUAAAUAUAAAUCAUUUAUACAGCAAUACUUUAUGGGAGAAGCAUAUGCUGAAUUUUAAUGGUGUUUACUUUGCAAUCCAAAAUUGUGAAUACAUACAUGUAAAACUAUGAAAUUGCUAAUUAAAUAUUUCCAUCUAUC
RNAcentral lists this long non-coding RNA (4938 nucleotides) under Homo sapiens (human). Its description in RNAcentral is "HSALNT0313425". The record is from RNAcentral. Lineage: Eukaryota; Metazoa; Chordata; Mammalia; Primates; Hominidae.